This is a long non-coding RNA of Melitaea cinxia (Glanville fritillary), 282 nucleotides long. RefSeq lists it as uncharacterized. The transcript is spliced from 3 exons. The record is from RefSeq and is a predicted model, not a curated record. Lineage: Eukaryota; Metazoa; Arthropoda; Insecta; Lepidoptera; Nymphalidae.
UCUUCAGGAUUAAUGGCUUUCAAUAGUUCUAAUAACAAUUUAUAAUUUUAUGUAUUACGACGUUGUGACUUUGACGUUAGUUUGACGCUCGUAAAAACGCUCAUCAUAGACUAAAGUAUUAGUUUUUUCUAAAAGAUGUUGUAGAAUGAGCGUUUGACUCAGUCGUGUCAACUUGGCUACCAAUUUAAAAUGACUUACGCCGAGCCGUCAACGAUUGUAGAAAGACGUUCGAUACGAAACGUUUGUAACUUGGCUAGGCCUUCUGAUUACAUCUCUUUGUCA